RNAcentral lists this ribosomal RNA (187 nucleotides) under Gammaproteobacteria bacterium. RNAcentral's name for it is "partial 16S ribosomal RNA". It matches the Rfam family "Bacterial small subunit ribosomal RNA", at positions 1 to 174 of the family's 1533-position model. Lineage: Bacteria; Pseudomonadati; Pseudomonadota; Gammaproteobacteria. The record is from RNAcentral.
ACAAAACAUGAUAAUAAUUGAAGAGUUUGAUCAUGGCUCAGAUUGAACGCUGGCGGUAGGCUUAACACAUGCAAGUCGUGCGAGAAAAUAUCUUCGGAUAUGAGUAGAGCGGCGGACGGGUGAGUAACGCGUAGGAAUGUACCUAGUAGAAGGGGAUAGCCCGGGGAAACCCGGAUUAAUACCGUAU